CCCCCAUUGACCAAAACAUCCCCUGCCCCCAGGCUGACCUAAUCCCCCGCCUCAAGGCUCUGUCCUUUGUUGGGGCAAAGGGAUAAAUCUGCUGCCUCCAGCCUUCUAUCAACACUGCUGAGCCCAGCUUGUCCCCUGCUUAGGAUCCUGGCACCUCUUCCUGCUCCCGGCCACUUUUCCUCUCUGCCAGACCUCGCUAGACCCCCGCCCAGCCUGCCCCGAGAGCCCAGGACGCUGCUCCUUUACAGCCAUGUGGAUGGCGGUUGCUCUGCUCUGUGAAACAGAAGACUUGUCUCUGGUUACAGAUAUUCCAAGGAUCGAUGAGUCCCCUGGCCUUCAAUUCCAGAGUGCAUGGCGUGGUGGGAAGGGGGACAGAGGAGGCAGGAAAAGAGCAAGUAGAACACCAUACUGAAGUCAUUUUCGCCCAUCAUUUAGCCCAGUAACUUUGAACGUUUUGGUGGGGCACCCCUUGAGAAUCUAAUAAAAUUUUGAAACUGUGCUCUGAAAA
This 508-nucleotide long non-coding RNA is filed under the name Chinchilla lanigera (long-tailed chinchilla). Its description in RNAcentral is "lncRNA (ENSCLAG00000025906.1)". The record is from RNAcentral. Lineage: Eukaryota; Metazoa; Chordata; Mammalia; Rodentia; Chinchillidae.